UACGUAGGUCCCGAGCGUUGUCCGGAUUUAUUGGGCGUAAAGCGAGCGCAGGUGGUUUAUUAAGUCUGGUGUAAAAGGCAGUGGCUCAACCAUUGUAUGCAUUGGAAACUGGUAGACUUGAGUGCAGGAGAGGAGAGUUGAAUUCCAUGUGUAGCGGUGAAAUGCGUAGAUAUAUGGAGGAACACCGGUGGCGAAAGCGGCUCUCUGGCCUGUAACUGACACUGAGGCUCGGAAGUGUGGGGAGCAAAUAGG
This 252-nucleotide ribosomal RNA is filed under the name uncultured bacterium. RNAcentral describes it as "partial 16S ribosomal RNA". It matches the Rfam family "Bacterial small subunit ribosomal RNA", at positions 524 to 776 of the family's 1533-position model. The record is from RNAcentral.